UGGAGUUUGGCUCAGUGGUAGAGUGCUCGCCUGGCAUGUGUGAGGCCCUGGGUUCCAUCCUUAGCACUGCAU
Molecule: transfer RNA, 72 nt
Filed under: Ictidomys tridecemlineatus (thirteen-lined ground squirrel)
Lineage: Eukaryota; Metazoa; Chordata; Mammalia; Rodentia; Sciuridae
Description: Spermophilus tridecemlineatus (thirteen-lined ground squirrel) tRNA
Rfam family: tRNA
About the family: Transfer RNA (tRNA) molecules are approximately 80 nucleotides in length. Their secondary structure includes four short double-helical elements and three loops (D, anti-codon, and T loops).
Source: Rfam by way of RNAcentral